This 497-nucleotide ribosomal RNA is filed under the name uncultured bacterium. Its description in RNAcentral is "partial 16S ribosomal RNA". It matches the Rfam family "Bacterial small subunit ribosomal RNA", at positions 28 to 507 of the family's 1533-position model. The record is from RNAcentral.
GAUGAACGCUGGCGGCGUGCCUAAUACAUGCAAGUCGAGCGAACAGACGAGGAGCUUGCUCCUCUGACGUUAGCGGCGGACGGGUGAGUAACACGUGGAUAACCUACCUAUAAGACUGGGAUAACUUCGGGAAACCGGAGCUAAUACCGGAUAAUAUAUUGAACCGCAUGGUUCAAUAGUGAAAGACAGUUUUGCUGUCCCUUAUAGAUGGAUCCGCUCCGCAUUAGCUAGCUGGUAAGGUAACGGCUUACCAAGGCAACGAUGCGUAGCCGACCUGAGAGGGUGAUCGGACACACUGGAACUGAGACACGGUCCAGACUCCUACGGGAGGCAGCAGUAGGGAAUCUUCCGCAAUGGGCGAAAGCCUGACGGAGCAACGCCGCGUGAGUGAUGAAGGUCUUCGGAUCGUAAAACUCUGUUAUUAGGGAAGAACAAAUGUGUAAGUAACUAUGCACGUCUUGACGGUACCUAAUCAGAAAGCCACGGCUAACUACGUG